RNAcentral lists this small RNA (27 nucleotides) under Bombyx mori (domestic silkworm). RNAcentral's name for it is "ovarian small RNA-37817". Lineage: Eukaryota; Metazoa; Arthropoda; Insecta; Lepidoptera; Bombycidae. The record is from RNAcentral.
UUGCAUAGGUCAUGACGGGGCGUAUGC